GGAGCUUGCUCUGCUGGAUCAGUGGCGAACGGGUGAGUAACACGUGAGCAAUCUGCCCCUGACUCUGGGAUAAGCGCUGGAAACGGCGUCUAAUACCGGAUACGAGCUGCGAAGGCAUCUUCAGCAGCUGGAAAGAACUUCGGUCAGGGAUGAGCUCGCGGCCUAUCAGCUAGUUGGUGAGGUAACGGCUCACCAAGGCGUCGACGGGUAGCCGGCCUGAGAGGGUGACCGGCCACACUGGGACUGAGACACGGCCCAGACUCCUACGGGAGGCAGCAGUGGGGAAUAUUGCACAAUGGGCGAAAGCCUGAUGCAGCAACGCCGCGUGAGGGACGACGGCCUUCGGGUUGUAAACCUCUUUUAGCAGGGAAGAAGCGAAAGUGACGGUACCUGCAGAAAAAGCGCCGGCUAACUACGUGCCAGCAGCCGCGGUAAUACGUAGGGCGCAAGCGUUAUCCGGAAUUAUUGGGCGUAAAGAGCUCGUAGGCGGUUUGUCGCGUCUGCUGUGAAAACCCGAGGCUCAACCUCGGGCCUGCAGUGGGUACGGGCAGACUAGAGUGCGGUAGGGGAGAUUGGAAUUCCUGGUGUAGCGGUGGAAUGCGCAGAUAUCACGAGGAACACCGAUGGCGAAGGCAGAUCUCUGGGCCGUAACUGACGCUGAG
This 662-nucleotide ribosomal RNA is filed under the name Microbacterium saccharophilum. RNAcentral's name for it is "bacterial SSU rRNA". It matches the Rfam family "Bacterial small subunit ribosomal RNA", at positions 75 to 750 of the family's 1533-position model. The record is from RNAcentral. Lineage: Bacteria; Bacillati; Actinomycetota; Actinomycetes; Micrococcales; Microbacteriaceae.